GCCCGGUUAGCUCAAUCGGUAGAGCGUGUGGCUUUUAUUCAUUGCACACCUCAAGGUUGCGAGUUCGAGCCUCGCAUCGGGCG
Non-coding RNA from Aspergillus sclerotiicarbonarius CBS 121057, 83 nucleotides. Lineage: Eukaryota; Fungi; Ascomycota; Eurotiomycetes; Eurotiales; Aspergillaceae. The record is from the annotation of a GenBank genome assembly.